RNAcentral lists this ribosomal RNA (494 nucleotides) under uncultured beta proteobacterium. Its description in RNAcentral is "bacterial SSU rRNA". It matches the Rfam family "Bacterial small subunit ribosomal RNA", at positions 9 to 524 of the family's 1533-position model. The record is from RNAcentral. Lineage: Bacteria; Pseudomonadati; Pseudomonadota; Betaproteobacteria.
GAGUUUGAUCUUGGCUCAGAUUGAACGCUGGCGGCAUGCUUUACACAUGCAAGUCGAACGGUAACAGGUCUUCGGAUGCUGACGAGUGGCGAACGGGUGAGUAAUACAUCGGAACGUGCCUAGUAGUGGGGGAUAACUACUCGAAAGAGUAGCUAAUACCGCAUGAGAUCUACGGAUGAAAGCAGGGGACCUUCGGGCCUUGUGCUACUAGAGCGGCUGAUGGCAGAUUAGGUAGUUGGUGGGGUAAAGGCUUACCAAGCCUGCGAUCUGUAGCUGGUCUGAGAGGACGACCAGCCACACUGGGACUGAGACACGGCCCAGACUCCUACGGGAGGCAGCAGUGGGGAAUCUUGGACAAUGGGCGCAAGCCUGAUCCAGCCAUGCCGCGUGGAUGAUGAAGGCCCUAGGGUUGUAAAAUCCUUUCGUUGGGGACGAUAAUGACGGUACCCCAAAGAAGAAGCUCCGGCUAACUUCGUGCCAGCCGCCGCCGUAAG